Impatiens glandulifera is the source of this 378-nucleotide long non-coding RNA. RefSeq lists it as uncharacterized. The transcript has 3 exons. Lineage: Eukaryota; Viridiplantae; Streptophyta; Magnoliopsida; Ericales; Balsaminaceae. The record is from RefSeq and is a predicted model, not a curated record.
AUGCGAAGAUUCAAAUACCAUGUAAGCGUAACUUCUUCUAAAGAAGUUAUGUCUAAGAUGGUUUAUAUAGAUCUUGGAGUUGGGUGUAAAAGAUGGUUCAUGAGUUGGGAUAAGUCAGCAUGCUCAAUGCAAUUCAGGAGGCAUACUAGCAGAUAGAAACAUUAAUUCUCCUGAAUCGACCCAAAACAUAUCCCAGUCUUCGACUCCAUCAGCUACACUCUCUCUAGUACCGAUUUCCUCUUUAUUGGGAUGGGGCAAGGAUCCCGAUACUAUUUUCAGUUUCAUAUGCCUAGAUGAUGAUUAAAUGAUAAGGUAGAAACUGUACAUUUCUGUAAUGUAAAUCCAUAGAGAAGUAAAAUUAAUGUGUUUGUUCAAGUA